UGAGGAAUAUUGGGCAAUGCCCGCAAGGGUGACCCAGCAACGCCGCGUGGAGGAUGAAUGUCGUAAGAUUGUAAACUCCUGUUAGAGGGGAAGAAUAGUACCGGUUGGACCGGUAUAUGACUGUACCCUCAGAGAAAGCCCCGGCUAACUACGUGCCAGCAGCCGCGGUAAUACAUAGGGGGCAAGCGGUGUCCGGAUUUACUGGGUGUAAAGGGCGCGCAGGCGGGAUAAAAAGUCAGUGGUGAAAUCCUACAGCUUAACUGUAGAACUGCCUUCGAUACUUUUAUUCUUGAGUGCGGGAGAGAGAGACGGAAUUCCAGGUGUAGUGGUGAAAUACGUAGAUAUCUGGAAGAACACCAGUUGCGAAGGCGGUCUCUUGGUCCGACACUGACGCUGAGGCGCGAAAGCGUGGGGAGCAAACA
RNAcentral lists this ribosomal RNA (422 nucleotides) under uncultured bacterium. Its description in RNAcentral is "bacterial SSU rRNA". It matches the Rfam family "Bacterial small subunit ribosomal RNA", at positions 355 to 774 of the family's 1533-position model. The record is from RNAcentral.